This 518-nucleotide long non-coding RNA is filed under the name Olea europaea (common olive). Its description in RNAcentral is "long non-coding RNA (OEUR_LNC006066)". The record is from RNAcentral. Lineage: Eukaryota; Viridiplantae; Streptophyta; Magnoliopsida; Lamiales; Oleaceae.
ACCAACCCUCGCGGAAUGUUGAAUUAUAUCCUUAAGAAAACCUAGUAAAAUCAGAAUUUCAAAAAAUCCUCGCUUUCAGCGCCAUCUUCCUUGCAGACUGGACGACCAUUUUUCGUAGUUCGCAUUUCCCCUUUCUCAUGCUUCCCCAAAUCACACACUAGUUCAGUGCCAAACACUUCUUAUUACAAAAUACUGUAGAUUCUUCUUUGUCCUUUGAACUAGACAUUAUAUUUGUAUUUCUAUCCAAAUCCAUCCAAGACUGUUCUUCCACAUUAUUUUAAUUCAAUCAGGUAAAUAUUCGGAGUUUUGUCUAUUUAUGGACAAAUUUUCAUUUUUUUGUGGAAAAAUAUACUUCUUUUGGUGAUUUUUAUAGUUAACACGGUUGACACUACUUCCUUUCAGUUUCAGGCUUGAAAGUUUGAAGUAGACUGCCAUUCCUUUAAGUUUCAAGCUUGAUACUUGCAUUAUGUUUAUCGGUUAAUUUGGUUAAUGCUCAUUAGUUGUUGAGUAGAAUGGUU